GGGGCGGUAGCUCAGUCGGUUAGAGCAGAGGACUCAUAAUCCUUUGGCCGUGGGUUCGAGCCCCACCCGCCCCACCA
RNAcentral lists this transfer RNA (77 nucleotides) under Actinophytocola xanthii. RNAcentral describes it as "tRNA-Met". It matches the Rfam family "tRNA". From Rfam's summary of the family: Transfer RNA (tRNA) molecules are approximately 80 nucleotides in length. Their secondary structure includes four short double-helical elements and three loops (D, anti-codon, and T loops). The record is from RNAcentral. Lineage: Bacteria; Bacillati; Actinomycetota; Actinomycetes; Pseudonocardiales; Pseudonocardiaceae.